CGAAAAGUUAUGUAAGGGCGUAUGGGGGAUGCCUAGGCUCUCAGAGGCGAAGAAGGACGUGAUAAGCUGCGAAAAGUUGCGUGUAUUGGCACAUACGAUAUGAUACGCAAAUAUCCGAAUGGGGCAACCCAGUACAUUGAAGAUGUACUACACCGUAAAGGUGAGCAAACCCGCUGAACUGAAACAUCUAAGUAGGCGGAGGAGAAGAAAACAAAAGUGAUUCCCAAAGUAGUGGCGAGCGAAAUGGGAUUAGCCCAAACCCAUAUUGUUACGGCAAUAUGGGGGUAGUAGGACCCAGAUAUAGGUUGUAAAGCUGGAUUAGAAGUGUUUGGAAAGACACACCAUAGAGAGUGAAAGUCUCGUAUAGGUACAGUUUUAUAAAUCUUAUGGGUAUCCUGAGUAGGUCGGGGCACGAGGAACCUUGACUGAAUCGGCCGGGACCAUCCGGUAAGGCUAAAUACUCCUGAGAGACCGAUAGUGAACUAGUACCGUGAGGGAAAGGUGAAAAGAACCGUGAAUAACGGAGUGAAACAGACCCUGAAACCAUACGCUUACAAGCGGUCGGAGCAGCUACGGCUGUGACGGCGUGCCUUUUGCAUAAUGAGCCUACGAGUUACUGUUACCAGCGAGGAUAAGUAUUUCAGAUACGAAUCCGCAGCGAAAGCGAGUCUGAAUAGGGCGGCAAUAGUUGGUAGUAGUAGACGCGAAACCUGGUGAUCUACCCUUGGGCAGGUUGAAGCGCUGGUAACACAGCGUGGAGGACCGAACUGGUUGUCGUUGAAAAGACUUCGGAUGACCUGAGGGUAGGGGUGAAAGGCCAAUCAAACUGGGAAAUAGCUCGUACUCCCCGAAAUGCAUUUAGGUGCAGCGUUGAAGCGAGUUUAAUAGAGGUAGAGCUACUGAUUGGAUGCGGGGGUUUCAUCGCCUACCAAUUCCUGACAAACUCCGAAUGCUAUUAAAUGCUCAUCAGCAGUGAGGGUAUGGGUGCUAAGGUCCAUAUCCUAAAGGGAAAGAACCCGGACCAUCAGCUAAGGUCCCCAAAUAUAUGCUAAGUUGACCAAACGCGGUCUGACUGCACUGACAGCUAGGAUGUUGGCUUGGAAGCAGCCAUACAUUUAAAGAGUGCGUAACAGCUCACUAGUCGAGCGGUUGGGCAUGGAUAAUAAACGGGCAUAAGCAUAUUACCGAAGCUAUGGGGUAGUACAGAAGUACCUACCGGUAGGGGAGCAUUCUAUAGGCGUGGAAGCUAAAGGCGUGAGCCAUAGUGGAGCUGAUAGAAAAGAAAAUGUAGGCAUAAGUAACGAUAAGGCAGGCGAGAAACCUGCCCGCCGAAAGAUCAAGGUUUCCUCAGCUAUGCUAAUCAGCUGAGGGUUAGUCGGGGACUAACGCGCACCCGAGAAGGGGAAGUGGAUGUACAACAGGUUAAUAUUCCUGUACCAUUAAUCUAAUAAAAGUGACGGAACGAGAUAACUACCGCGUACUGACGGAAUAGUACGUUAAAGGAGCAGUUAUAGCUUUGAUAGUACACUGAGGCUUCGGUCGAGGUGAUAGAGUGGUGACAACGUUUCCAAGAAAAGCGAAGAUUAAUGCCCGUACCGUAAACCGACACAGGUGAUUGGGAAGAGAAUUCUAAGGCGCUCGAGAGAUUCAUGGCUAAGGAACUAGGCAAAAUAGACCUGUAACUUCGGGAGAAAGGUCGCCUAUCUAGCGAUAGGCCGCAGUGAAGAGGUCCAAGCGACUGUUUAUCAAAAACACAGGACUCUGCAAAAUCGAAAGAUGAGGUAUAGGGUCUGACACCUGCCCGGUGCUGGAAGGUUAAGAGGAGAGCUUAGUGGUAACACGAAGGUUUGAAUUGAAGCCCCAGUAAACGGCGGCCGUAACUAUAACGGUCCUAAGGUAGCGAAAUUCCUUGUCGGGUAAGUUCCGACCUGCACGAAUGGUGUAACGAUUUGGACACUGUCUCGGCCAUGAGCUCGGUGAAAUUGUAGUAUCGGUGAAGAUGCCGAUUACCCGCAGUGGGACGAAAAGACCCUGUGCACCUUUACUAUAUCUUCGUAUUGGUCUUGGAUAAGUGAUGCGUAGGAUAGGUGGGAGACUGCGAAGCGGCUAUUCCGGUAGUUGUGGAGUCGUUGUUGAAAUACCACCCUUUGCUUAUCUGAGGUCUAACUUUGCACAAGGCAAAGGACAAUUCGUGGAGGGUAGUUUGACUGGGGUGGUCGCCUCCAAAAGAGUAACGGAGGCUUCUAAAGGUUCCCUCAGCACGCUUGGUAACCGUGCGAAGAGUGCAAUGGCAUAAGGGAGCUUGACUGAGAGACCUACAAGUCGAUCAGGUACGAAAGUAGAGCAUAGUGAUCCGGUGGUUCCGUAUGGAAGGGCCAUCGCUCAAAGGAUAAAAGGUACGCCGGGGAUAACAGGCUGAUCUCCCCCAAGAGCUCACAUCGACGGGGGGGUUUGGCACCUCGAUGUCGGCUCGUCACAUCCUGGGGCUGGAGAAGGUCCCAAGGGUUGGGCUGUUCGCCCAUUAAAGUGGCACGCGAGCUGGGUUCAGAACGUCGUGAGACAGUUCGGUCUCUAUCUACUGUGGGCGUUAGAAAUUUGCGUGGAUCUGACUCUAGUACGAGAGGACCGAGUUGGACGCACCGCUGGUGUAUCUGUUGUCUUGCCAAGGGCAUAGUAGAGUAGCUAAGUGCGGAUGGGAUAAGUGCUGAAGGCAUAUAAGUACGAAACCCGCCACAAGAUGAGAUUUCUUUUAAGGGUCGUGGGAGAUGACCACGUUGAUAGGUUACAGGUGUAAAGGUGGUAACAUCAUAGCCGAGUAAUACUAAUCACCCGUAGACUUUUCGCGCAG
RNAcentral lists this ribosomal RNA (2848 nucleotides) under Capnocytophaga sp. oral taxon 864. RNAcentral's name for it is "bacterial LSU rRNA". It matches the Rfam family "Bacterial large subunit ribosomal RNA". Lineage: Bacteria; Pseudomonadati; Bacteroidota; Flavobacteriia; Flavobacteriales; Flavobacteriaceae. The record is from RNAcentral.